AACGAACGCUGGCGGCAGGCCUAACACAUGCAAGUCGAGCGAGCAUUUCGGUGCUAGCGGCGGACGGGUGAGUAACGCGUGGGAACGUGCCCUUUUCUGCGGAAUAGUCCUGGGAAACUGGGGGUAAUACCGCAUACGCCCUUUUGGGGAAAGAUUUAUCGGAGAAGGAUCGGCCCGCGUUGGAUUAGGUAGUUGGUGGGGUAAUGGCCCACCAAGCCGACGAUCCAUAGCUGGUUUGAGAGGAUGAUCAGCCACACUGGGACUGAGACACGGCCCAGACUCCUACGGGAGGCAGCAGUGGGGAAUCUUAGACAAUGGGGGCAACCCUGAUCUAGCCAUGCCGCGUGAGUGAUGAAGGCCUUAGGGUUGUAAAGCUCUUUCGGCUGGGAAGAUAAUGACGGUACCAGCAGAAGAAGCCCCGGCUAACUCCGUG
RNAcentral lists this ribosomal RNA (433 nucleotides) under uncultured bacterium. RNAcentral's name for it is "partial 16S ribosomal RNA". It matches the Rfam family "Bacterial small subunit ribosomal RNA", at positions 29 to 507 of the family's 1533-position model. The record is from RNAcentral.